RNAcentral lists this ribosomal RNA (445 nucleotides) under uncultured bacterium. Its description in RNAcentral is "bacterial SSU rRNA". It matches the Rfam family "Bacterial small subunit ribosomal RNA", at positions 28 to 455 of the family's 1533-position model. The record is from RNAcentral.
GAUGAACGCUGGCGGCGUGCUUAACACAUGCAAGUCGAGCGAAGCGCUAUUGCGGAUUUCUUCGGAUUGAAGCAACUGUGACUGAGCGGCGGACGGGUGAGUAACGCGUGGGUAACCUGCCUCAUACAGGGGGAUAACAGUUGGAAACGGCUGCUAAUACCGCAUAAGCGCACAGUACCGCAUGGUACGGUGUGAAAAACUCCGGUGGUAUGAGAUGGACCCGCGUCUGAUUAGGUAGUUGGUGGGGUAACGGCCUACCAAGCCGACGAUCAGUAGCCGACCUGAGAGGGUGACCGGCCACAUUGGGACUGAGACACGGCCCAAACUCCUACGGGAGGCAGCAGUGGGGAAUAUUGCACAAUGGGGGAAACCCUGAUGCAGCGACGCCGCGUGAGCGAAGAAGUAUUUCGGUAUGUAAAGCUCUAUCAGCAGGGAAGAAAAUGAC